This 86-nucleotide transfer RNA is filed under the name Microbacterium lacusdiani. Its description in RNAcentral is "tRNA-Leu". It matches the Rfam family "tRNA". Rfam says of the family: Transfer RNA (tRNA) molecules are approximately 80 nucleotides in length. Their secondary structure includes four short double-helical elements and three loops (D, anti-codon, and T loops). Further hydrogen bonds mediate the characteristic L-shaped molecular structure. tRNAs have two regions of fundamental functional importance: the anti-codon, which is responsible for specific mRNA codon recognition, and the 3' end, to which the tRNAs corresponding amino acid is attached (by aminoacyl-tRNA synthetases). tRNAs cope with the degeneracy of the genetic code in two manners: having more than one tRNA (with a specific anti-codon) for a particular amino acid; and 'wobble' base-pairing, i.e. permitting non-standard base-pairing at the 3rd anti-codon position. The record is from RNAcentral. Lineage: Bacteria; Bacillati; Actinomycetota; Actinomycetes; Micrococcales; Microbacteriaceae. RNAcentral also lists the same sequence under 2 other names.
GCCGGUGUGGCGGAAUGGCAGACGCGGCGCACUCAAAAUGCGCUGUCCGUGAGGGCGUGUGGGUUCGAGUCCCACCACCGGCACCA